Molecule: long non-coding RNA, 17826 nt
Filed under: Olea europaea (common olive)
Lineage: Eukaryota; Viridiplantae; Streptophyta; Magnoliopsida; Lamiales; Oleaceae
Description: long non-coding RNA (OEUR_LNC009919)
Source: RNAcentral
ACUGUUUUCACACAAUCAAUACUAAUACAGUAUGAUGAAGGUGCUUGGAUUGUUUCCAUGAAAAGUAUCUUGCAUAGAAAACUAAAGAACCAACUGAUGCAUCUUAUAAUUUACAGGCUAGAAAUCUGCAUCUUGUUGUCAAGUAUGCUCUCCACAUCAGCUGCCUGCACCGGGAUCAUUGACACAUGGAGCUAAAACAAUAUAUGAGGAAAACUCCAUGAGUUCUGAAUAAUGCUAGAAAUUAAAGCAACUGGGUAAAAAGUAUAGUUAUAACUGUACGUGAAAUAAGUACUCGAGUAAAAUUAACUGUCGCCACAAGUCAAAUGAAGUACAUCGAUUCUGAAGCAUUUCUAAAUAUGUCUAUACAAAACAUUAAGCUGAUUCUGGAAAAUUUAUUGGUGCAAGCUUACGAAUAAAUUAGGCGUAUAUUCUACAGUGAGCUUUGAUAUUUCUAAUAAUCUUAACUUUAGCAAGCAUCAAGCAGCUCCAUAAUAUACAUUAUUAGCCAAAUUUUAUGUCUUCUGCCUAUCAAUUCCAUUUUUAUAAUGCUUAUGGCAUAUAAAAGAAAACAUUUCCAAAAGACAUCUACAAGCAAAUAUUCGGACUUUCCUAAGUCAACGAGUAAACGAACUAAUUAUUCUAAUUGGUGCACUUUCAUAGGAAAAGAAAGGAAGCGAAAUUGUAAACUAACUAGUAACAAUCUUAAGGGGGGCAUUUUCCAAUAAAUGUAUGCUCACAAAACUAAUAAAUAGAUGACAAGAUGACCUUAAACGUGAAGCAUAUCCAUAUUCUAUGGCUUGGCAGGAGUGACAAUAUAGAUAAGCAGACACUCCUUACAUUUCAGAUGCCACUUCAGGUUUGAUGUCACAUAAAUAAGGAGCAAAUGGUACAAAGUGGUGAAGGAAGGUAUAUGACACUCUAAACGUGAAGAAAAACAUGAAGGCCAGAUGUGUCACAGGUCAAUAGAAACAGUUCGUGCGUACUGGCAAAUAACAAAAAUACCUAAACUUUCUGCAGGUGCUUCCACCUCAACCUCUGAAGCAAAGUUUCCUUCCUCACCAAAGUGAAAGUCCGUCAUCUGGUCCGGAAUAACCCAAGAUAUGGGAAUUGCAGCAACUAACAUAAAAAUUAUUUCAAUCAAGCUUAACUAUCAUCUGACUAUGUAUGAGACAAAACGGCAAAGAAUAAAUAAGGAAAUAUGUUUAACAGAAGGACCUAAUAUAAACGGAAGUAUGACCAGUUACCCAUCUCGUAGGGAUUAAAAUCAGAUUUUUAGUAGAUUUUGAUAAAAGUUAAUGAAAUGUAUGGUUGAAAAGUUGUAGAUCCUAUGAAAUGAGUGAUUAAAAUUAAUUGUUGAUUUUGACUUAAAUUAAAAUUUGGAUUUUAAUUUAUACCAAACAUGGGCUUAGUAAGCGAAAAUCAAACUUCAAACCUGGUACUAAAGCGCCACUAAUCUCAGGUGAAGUAGUAGAAGUAGCACGACGCUUUCGCUCAUAAUUUUCCUCCAUUGGUGCUGGAUUUUGAACUAAAAUGCGGCAGAGAAACAAAAUAUGGCAGAGAAAGGAAAUAUGCUUAACAUAAGGAAACUCAUAUAAAAGAAAAUAUGAACAGUUAGAUAGUAAGAAUCAAACUUCAAACCUGGUACCAAAGCGCCACUCAUCUCAUGUGAAGCAGCAGAAGUAGCACGACGCUUUCGCACAUAAUUUUCUUCCAUUGGUGCUGGAGUUUGAAACAAAAUGCAGCAGACGAACAGAACACAGUAGAGAAUAAAUAGGAAAUAUAUUUAACAUAAACACCUAAUAUAUAUAUAGUUAGAAAUCUUAGUAAGCAAGCAUCAAACUUCGGACCUGGUACCAAAGCGCCACUCCUCCCAUGGGAAGCAGCAGGAGUAGACUUUCGCACAUAAUUUUCCUCCAAUGGUGCUGGAUUUUGAAAUGAAAACUGUGACUCUUUGACACCCUGAUAUUCUGGAUGUUCAUUUAGAAAGCUGGAAAGGGAAACAUCAGAAAACAUUCAAAAUAAAUAAAACAAAUGAAAGAUUCUGAAAUCUAAAAUUAUUCAUGCUUCUUACAACGUGUUAUAAAAAACCUAAGCAACUGUUAAUGAUCAUCAAGAGAUGAAUUUUACCUCCGAACUUUCACCAUUGAUCGAAAUCUCUCGCCUGAUGGAGCAUCAUAGUACCUAUCAAGAAAAAUGAGUCGACUUAGUUCAAGUCAGAAUGACAUUUCCACUAUUUAAAGCCUUAAAAGUAAUUGUAACUGAAUUGUAAACAUACACAUCAGAAAAUCUUGUGCCUCCUUCAGCUCUUAUUCGUAAAAUUCGUUGCCAGCCAUGAGGAGGCUGAGGAAUACCGGGCUUGUCUAUCGCCCAAUGCCAGCUGCCAUCUUUAAUAAGAUCUGAUUCAUCAUCACAUGUUAUUUCAGGCCGCCAUUCACGAGCCAUUUCACAAUGGAAAGGCAGUACAGCUAUAGUUUCUCUUAUCUGUUCAUAUUUCUGCUUUGUAGGGAUGAACCUCCACUUUGAACAGUUGGCACACUGAACGGUAUAAGCUCUUACUGAAUCCAGCAUUUUAAAUGUCUUCAGAGACCUGCCAAUAUGGGAAGGAAUGAAAUCAUUAGAAAGAAGAGAGCAUCAUAAUAGCACAAGAGGAAUAAUCAUUGCAGCAAAUUUCAUUCGAAUUUUUAUUUCUAAAAAGAUGAAAAUCGUAAAGUUUUAUUCCAGGGCUUAGUAAGCGAAAAUCAAACUUCAAACCUGGUACUAAAGCGCCACUAAUCUCAGGUGAAGUAGUAGAAGUAGCACGACGCUUUCGCUCAUAAUUUUCCUCCAUUGGUGCUGGAUUUUGAACUAAAAUGCGGCAGAGAAACAAAAUAUGGCAGAGAAAGGAAAUAUGCUUAACAUAAGGAAACUCAUAUAAAAGAAAAUAUGAACAGUUAGAUAGUAAGAAUCAAACUUCAAACCUGGUACCAAAGCGCCACUCAUCUCAUGUGAAGCAGCAGAAGUAGCACGACGCUUUCGCACAUAAUUUUCUUCCAUUGGUGCUGGAGUUUGAAACAAAAUGCAGCAGACGAACAGAACACAGUAGAGAAUAAAUAGGAAAUAUAUUUAACAUAAACACCUAAUAUAUAUAUAGUUAGAAAUCUUAGUAAGCAAGCAUCAAACUUCGGACCUGGUACCAAAGCGCCACUCCUCCCAUGGGAAGCAGCAGGAGUAGACCGCAAACAUUCAUGUACAAUUAUUAUGAAUUAUACAACAUUAAAUAGCGAAUGGUGAUCAGCUUACGUGAUAUCCAUACCUCCAAUUGGCGGAAAGAUUCCGGCGUCGGAAUGAAGGCGGCGACGGCAGUACCGGAGCAAAACUGAUGCGAGGGUAUGAAUCUGUGAGAGACUGAAAGUUGUCCUAAAGUGAGUGACGAAAACAUUCUAGUGACGUUGACACCCUGAUAUUCUGGAUGUUCAUUUAGAAAGCUGGAAAGGGAAACAUCAGAAAACAUUCAAAAUAAAUAAAACAAAUGAAAGAUUCUGAAAUCUAAAAUUAUUCAUGCUUCUUACAACGUGUUAUAAAAAACCUAAGCAACUGUUAAUGAUCAUCAAGAGAUGAAUUUUACCUCCGAACUUUCACCAUUGAUCGAAAUCUCUCGCCCGAUGGAGCAUCAUAGUACCUAUCAAGAAAAAUGAGUCGACUUAGUUCAAGUCAGAAUGACAUUUCCAUUGUUUAAAGCCUUAAAAGUAAUUGUAACUGAAUUGUAAACAUACACAUCAGAAAAUCUUGUUCCUCCUUCAGCUCUUAUUCGUAAAAUUCGUUGCCAGCCAUGAGGAGGCUGAGGAAUACCGGGCUUGUCUAUCGCCCAAAGCCAGCUGCCAUCUUUAAUAAGAUCUGAUUCAUCAUCACAUGUUAUUUCAGGCCGCCAUUCACGAGCCAUUUCACAAUGGAAAGGCAGUACAGCUAUAGUUUCUCUUAUCUGUUCAUAUUUCUGCUUUGUAGGGAUGAACCUCCACUUUGAACAGUUGGCACACUGAACGGUAUAAGCUCUUACUGAAUCCAGCAUUUUAAAUGUCUUCAGAGACCUGCCAAUAUGGGAAGGAAUGAAAUCAUUAGAAAGAAGAGAGCAUCAUAAUAGCACAAGAGGAAUAAUCAUUGCAGCAAAUUUCAUUCGAAUUUUUAUUUCUAAAAAGAUGAAAAUCGUAAAGUUUUAUUCCAGUGUGUGUGCAUAUUUACUCGUCUUUUUCUUCAGUAAGUUCCGAAUUUAAAACAACCACCAUCAAGGCAAUCUCACAAAUAAGAGAUGAGUAAAAAUACCAUGCAAUCUCACCUUGAAUGAAUAAUAAAAGUUUCUAUGAGUUUUACAUUAUCUUGAAUUCCUUGACCUUACUUGAAAAACAUUGAAUAAUUGAAAUUUGGAAACCUAGGUUUCCAUUGCAAUCAUUUCUGUUUUACCAACAAAAGCAAAUACGAUUGUGUAUUAAAAUUUCAAACUUGGUAUAUACGCACGAAAACAGAAGAACCAACUCCCGAAAACAAUAAAAUUCUGUCAAGACAUUAACAGGCCCUAGAAAAUAGGAAGAAAAAAAUACAUAGAAAACUAUGAAAUGUAAAACAGCUGAUAGUAGAAUAUAAAACAAUUGCUAAGAAACACAAAAACAAAAAGAACUAUUAGGAAAUUAAUACAAAAGAUUCAGGAAAACCAGACUCUUUAAAAGUGUCACAAAAAGCGAAAAUUCACCAAAAAUAAAUAAAUAAAUAAAUAAAAUUAUAUCAGAACCGGAAAAUUUAAAAAGAAAAAAAAAUCAUCCGUGACAGGUUAUAAUUUAGAACCCAAAAGAAAAAUCAACGUCAAAAUUUUCUUUUCAAUGCUAAGAGAAGAACAUGCAAUUCAAACAAAACCCUGGUUAAAAAACUAAACUUUAGAUAACCCGAUACAGGAGACGCAAACAUUCAUGUACAAUUAUUAUGAAUUAUACAACAUUAAAUAGCGAAUGGUGAUCAGCUUACGUGAUAUCCAUACCUCCAAUUGGCGGAAAGAUUCCGGCGUCGGAAUGAAGGCGGCGACGGCAGUACCGGAGCAAAACUGAUGCGAGGGUAUGAAUCUGUGAGAGACUGAAAGUUGUCCUAAAGUGAGUGACGAAAACAUUCUAGUGACGUUUAUAUACGGGAUAUGCAUUGAGUAAAUAGCAUCAAGUGUCCUCAUCUUUCAUAUUAUUUGCAAAUUCAUCCUCUAACCACCUUAACAAAAGUGAAAUGAUCUAAUGAGUAUCGAUGCUUAACUUAUAUUAAGUACCGGUGAUAUGACACAUCAAUUAAUUGGUGAAUCAUUAAAUUCACGGGACGUACCAUUAACUUAUUCAAGGUGGGUGGAUGAAUUUAAUUGAGGCUCUUCGGGUUGAAUAAGAUCAAUUUGAAUUCGAGAAAGGUAAAUCGAUUAACUAAAAAGAAUUCGAUCAAACACCUGGAUAAGUAAAGAAUCUUGAUUUGCGAAACACAAAAAUAUGCUGAUAUGGAAAAAAUCACUUUAACAUAAUACAGUAAUCGUAAAAUUUUGCAGGAAGCUUAUCCAUCCAAGAUCAGUUGCUAUCAAAAGCACCUACACCUUCACCUCCAUUGAGUCCAUUGAUUUGUUAAACCAAUGGUUGAAAUUCUUUCUCAAAAAUAUUUGUCAAAAAUCUUAGUAGAAGGAACACUCCCCAAAAAAUUGUCACACAAGUCAAGAUAAACCGUUUUAAGAAAUCCCCUCUCCAAUGCAAGCUGACGUGACACAUAUUUAGACACACUGUUAAACGAAUUAUUCGACAAAAUUAAUAUUUUAUUUCCAUAUUAGAUGUGACCCUGUUUUUAUUUUAAGAAAAUAAAUGAUAAACUAUAAAGUGUAUUACAGUUAAGUUUAAAUUUUAGAGUUUGUACGAGAUAUCAAUGACUUAUAGAUCAAAAGUCUUUCAAUUACCUAUUUAGUAAUCAAAAGAGUGGAUUGGAGAUCCUAUCACGCCGUCUACACGAAUACAAACAAAAAUUUUAACUUCAUUAUUGAUCUUGUCCAAUCUAGCCUAUUAAAUACGCCAAAAAUACUUCAACUCUGGAAAAUUAGUUUCAAAUAUUAUUUCAAGUGCUGAAUUUUUUUCAAAACUACGCCCCUGUUUGGUACCUAUUAAAAUUCAAAUUUUAAUUUAAGUUAAAGUAAACAAUUAAUUUUAACCAUAUAUAUUAUGGGUUCCACAACUUUUUAACCACAUAUUUCAUCAACUUUUAUCAAAAUUUACUAAAAAUUUGAUUUUAAUCUCCACCAAAUAGGAGUUACAUUUAAAUGCUAAUAUGCCAACUUCAUGGCUUUAGGAAGUUACAAUAGAUUUCUACUUAUAAAAUGGCAUUCUUGAAUAGCCCAUCUUUAUUGAGGUAUGAUUUUGAAAGAUUAGUAGCCAUUGCAAGUUGAAACAAUGACAUCAUCAUGCUACACGUAUAUAAUAGUGUACAUAUGGGUUUACACUCUUCUCAUAUGAAAGGAGGUCCAUAUAUAAUAAAUUAUGUGUGGCCCCCCUCCACGUGAGAAGGGUGUAACCCAUGUGUACACCUUUGAGGUGUACAAGCAACAUUACCCUUAAUUUAUUUGCCUCAUUAGUUUUUAGUAUAAUUUUAUUUAUUAUUCUGCAGAAGUCUGGCUUCCUAUAUUUCAUUCCAUCCAAUUUUUUUGUUCAAUUCAAACAUUAGAUGGCGAUGUGUUUAUAAUAUUUUUCGCGCUUAAAUAAACGCAGAGGAAGGCACAAAAUACAAGCAAAGACUCGGAUAGAGCCCUAUGCGAUAGUUUUACAUUGUUUUCACACAAUCAAUAUUAAUACAGCACGAUAAAGGUGCUUGGAUUGUUUCCAUGAAAAGUAUUUUGCAUAGAAAACUAAAGAACUAACUGAUGCAUCUUAUAAUUUAGAAGCCAUACGAUGAACUAGAAUUUUGCAUCUUGUUGGGAAGCAUGCCCUCAACAUUUGCCGCCUGCACCGGGAUCAUUGACACAUGGAGCUAAAACAAUAUAUGAGGAAACCUCCAUUAGUUUUGAAUAGUGCAAGAAAUUAAAGUAACUCAGUAGUAAGUAUAGUUAUAACAGUACAUUGAAUAAGCGCUGAAGUUAAAUUAGUUUUCCCUCUAAAAAAUAAAACGGAUGAAUCAUGUUCCAUACUAGGUGAAAACUCAAAAAUGUAAAUGCAGCCACACACCAUAGUCUAAACUCACCUCACCAAUACGUUUGAGACACUCAAUGCACAGUUCAAGUUGAAAGCUCUGAAUAUUAAACCUCAAUCCCAGCAGUUAAUCUAUCAAGUUUAUGUCUGAGCAUCAACUAAGCACUAAGAAAAAUUGCGUGAUUAAGUUUGUCCUGCAUACUAAUUAGAUUAUCCCAUCGAACAAAUUUCCAAAUAUGAGAUACUUCGCAUAACAGAACAAGUAAUGCUAGAAAUGACCUUCUUGCUAUUUGAAGUGCUUUUUUACAAAGUACUGAAUUGGACACGAAAACAAGAUUUUAGCUUAUUUUUUUACAUAACAUGCCACGAAUGUAGUACUAACUCUCGCCACAAGUAAAAUGAAGUAUAUCGAUUGUGAAGCAUUACUAAAUAUGUCUAUACAAAAUAUAAAGCUGUUUCUGGAAAAUUUAUUAGUGCAUGCUUACAAAUAAAUUUGGUGUAUAUUCCACAUUGGGCUUUGAUAUUUCUCAUAAUCUUAACUUUAGCAAGCAUCAUGCAGCUCCAUAAUAUAUAUUGAUAGCCAAAUUUUAUGUCUUUUGCCUAUCAAUUCCAUUUUCAUAUUGUUUAUGGCAUAUAAAAAAAAAAAAUUUUUCCAGAAGACAUCUACUAGCAAAUAUUUGGACUUUGCUAAGUCAAUGAGUAAACUAAUUAAUUAUUCUAAUUGGUGCACUUUCAUAGGAAAAGAAAGGAAGCGAAAUUGUAAACUAACUAGUAACCAUCUUAAUGGGGAUAUUUUCCAAUAAAUAUAUGCUCACAAAACUAAUAAAUGGGUGAUAAAUAGAUGACAAGAUAACCUUAAACAUGAAACAUAUCCAUAUUCUAUGGCAUGGUAGGAGUGACAAUAUAGAUAAGUAGCACUUUUUACAUUUCAGAUGCCAUUUUAGGUUUCAUGUCACAUAAAUGAGGAGCAAAUGGUACAAACUGGUGAAGGAAGGUACAUGACACUAAAACAUCAAGGCACGAAUGUUCGGCCCAAGUGUGUUUAAGCUGUGACCGCCUCCGGAUUUAUCUAGGUGGUGAACUAGCGGGAAAGGUCGCCAUUUCCCAGGAUUAGUCAGGCAAAGCUUGGACAUCUGAGUUAUAAAAAUAAAAAUAAAAAAACACGAAGGCCAGAUGUGUCACAGGACAACAGAAACAGUUCAUGCGUUUGGGCAAAUAAUAAAUUACCUAAACUUUCUGCAAGUGCCUUUGCCCCAACCUCUGAAGCAAAGUUUCCUUCCUCACCAAAGUGAAAGUCCGUCAUCUGGUCCGGAGUAACCCAAGAUAUGGAAAUUGUAGCAACUAACAUAAAAAUUAUUUAAAUCAAGCUUAACUAUCAUCUGACUAUGUAUGAAACAAAAUGCAGCAAGAAUAAAUAAGGAAAUAUGUUUAAUGGAAGGACCUAAUAUAAAAGAAAAUAUGACCAAUUAUAAAUCCUAGCCCCUGUUUGGUUGGAAUUAAAAUCAGUUUUUCAAUAGAUUUUGAUAAAAGUUAAUGAAAUGUAUGGUUGAAAAGUUGUGGAUCCUAUGAAAGAAAUGGUUAAAAUUAAUUGUUGAUUUUGACUUAGAUUAAAAUUUGGAUUUUAAUUUAUAGCAAACAUGGGCUUGGUAAAUAAACAUCAAACUUCAAACCUGGUACUAAAGCGUCACUCAUCUCACAUGAAGCAGUAAAAGUAGCACGACGCUUUCGCUCAUAAUUUUCCUCCAUUGGUGCUGGAUUUUAAAUAAAACGCAACAGAGAAACAAAAUAUGGCAGGGAAGAAUUGAGUAAAUAUGUUUAACAUAAGCCCUCAUAUAAAAGAAAAUAUGAUCAGUUAGAUAGUAAGAAUCAAACCUCAAACCUGGUACCAAAGUGCCACUCAUCUUAUGUGAAGUAGCAGAAGUAGCAUGACGCUUUUGCACAUAAUUUUCUUCCAUGGGCGCUGGAGUUUGAAACAAAUGCAGUAAACAAAUAAAACACGAUAGAUAAUAAAUAAGGAAGUAUAUUUAACAUAAACACCUAAUAUAAAAGAAAAUAUGAAUAGUUAAAAGAUCUCAAUAAGCAAGCAUCAAACUUCUGACCUCGUACCAAAGCGCCAAUCGUCCCAUGUGAAGCAGGAGUAGACUUUCGCACAUAAUUUUCCUCCAUUGGUACUAGAUUUUGAAAUGAAAACUGUGACUUUGUUACACCCUGAUAUUCUAGAUGUUCAUUCAGAAAACUAGAAAAGGGAAAUCAUCAGAAAACAUUCAAUAUAAAUAAAAAAAUGAAAGAUUCUGAAAUCUAAAAUUAUUCAUGCAUCUUACAACGUGUUAUAAAAAAUGUAAGCAACCGUUUGUCAUGGAAAUACCUCGAGAAAUCUUGAUCUUGGACUUAGAAAACACCCAAACGAACACCACUUAACCUCGGCUCGACCCAAAACUUUCACACUUGAUUGUCACAAGUUUCACUCCACAAAGGAGACUAUGGUGGUGGUAUAUGCAAUCCACAAAGGAAGGAGAAAGAUGAAGGAAGACACCAAAAUGCUCCAAGCUCUCUAACUCCAAAGAAAGCCAUCUGUCUCUCUUUUUUCUUCUCUCUUGCAUGCGCGCACACACACACACACACACACACACAAAAAGACACGACUAGGAACAAAACAUAUAUAGCAAGACCUUAGGUCACUCAUAUGGAUUGGGCCAUAGUCUUUUCUACAAAUGGGCUACCACUUAAUUACAAAUAAAUGGACCACACAAUCCAAAACCAUCCAACUUAAACUUGGGCCAUCCAAAAGCACAGGUCGUUUUUUAGUCGAGCCAAAUCCAUGGUGUCGAUAAAUUAUCCGACAAAUGUUUUAAAUCAUCACCCGAAUGUAUCAAAAAGCCCAACACUGUUAAUGGUCAUCAUAAAUGAAUUUUACCUCUGAACUUUACCACUGAUCGAAAUCUCUCGCCCGAUGGAGCACCAUAGUUCCUAUCAAGAAAAAUGAGUCCACUUAGUUAAAGUCAGAAUGACAUUUCCACUGUUUAAAGCCUUAAAAGUAAUUGUAACUGAAUUGCAAACACACACAUCAGAAAAUCGUGUGCUUCCUUCAGCUCUUAUUCGUAAAAUUCGUUGCCAGCCAUGAGGAGGUUGAGGAAUACCGGGCUUGUCUAUUGCCCAACCUUAGCUUCCAUCUUUAAUAAGAUCUGAUUCAUCAUCACAUGUUAUUUCAGGUCGCCAUUCAAAGAGCUGUUCCACAAUAGAAAGGCAGUACAGCUACAGUUUCUCUUAUGUGCUCAUAUUUCUGCUUUGUAGGGAUGAACCUCCACUUUGAACAGUUGGCACACUGAACAGUAUAAGCUCCUACUGAAUCCAGUAUUUUAAAUGUCUUCAGAGAACUGCCAAUAUGGGAAGGAAUGAAAUCAUUUGAAAGAAGAGAACAUCAUAAUAGCACAAGAGGAAUAUUGAUUGCAGCAAAUCUCAUUGGAAUUUUUAUUAUAUCUAAAAAGAUGAAAAUUGUAAAAUUUUAUUCUAGUCUACGUGCAUCUUUACUUCUCUUUUCUUCAGGAAGUUUUGAGUUCAAAACAACCACCAUCAAGCAAUCUUACAAAUAAGAUAUGAGGAAAAAUACUAUGCAAUCUCACCUUGAAGAACAAAAGUUCCUAUGAGUUUCUACAUUAUUUUAAAUCCUUUGACCUUACUUGAAAAAUAUGGAAUAAUUGAAAUUCGGAAACUUAGGUUUCCAUUACAAUCAUUUCUGUUUGACCACAAAAGAAAAUAUGAUCGUGUAUCAAAAUUUCAAACUUGGUAUAUAAAUGAAAACAAAAGAACCAACUCCCGAAAACAAUAAAAUUCUGUCAAGACGUACAGGCCCUAGAAAUAUAUAGUUGAAAAUGGAAGGACAAAAAUACAAAGACAACUAUGAAAUGUAACAGCUGAUAGUAGAAUAUAGACACAUGGCUAAGAAACCCAAAACCAAAAAGAACUAUUUGGAAACUAAUACAAAAGAUUUAGGAAAACCAGACUCUUUAAAAGUGUCACAAAAAGCGAAAAUUCGCCCAAAAAAAAUUCAUAUCAGUACCAGAAAAUUUAAAUAGAGAAAAAAAAAUCAUCUGUCAUGAGUUAUAAUUUAGAACCUAAAAGAAAAAUCAACUGUUGAAAAAUAAUGGCAAUGAAGAAGAGAAUAUAAAAAUAUAUCAAUGAAGGCUCGAACAUGAAAUUAAUCUCGCUGUCCUCAAACGUUAUUUGCCUCAUUUCUAAAAGAUUUUAAGAAUUUUCGGCAAACCGUUCGUAGGAUUAAACAAGCCUUGAUGUGAAGAACACCAAAAGCAAAAAAUGUAACUUCACAAUGAACAAGUGAAAAUUGGGAUGAUUAUGUGAUAAUUUCCUGAAUAUUUGGAAGAAUAAUUUGGGGAUAAAAUUAUUUGCAAAUUCAUCCUCUAACCACCUUAUCAUAAGUGAAAUGAUCUAAUGAGCACCGGUGCUUAACUUAUAUUAAGUACCGGUGAUAUAACACACCAAUUAAUUGGUGAAUAAUUAAAUUCACGGGACCUACCAUUAACUUAUUCAAGGUUGGUGGAUGAAUUUAAUUGAGGCUCUUCGGGUUGAAUAAGAUCAAUUUGAAUUCGAGAAAGGUAAAUCAAUUAAUUAAACAGAAUUCAAUCAAACACCUGGAUAAGUAAAGAAUCUUGAUUUUCAACACAAAAAUAUACUGAUAUGGAAAAAAUCACUUUAACAUAAUAAAUUUUGCAGGAAGCUUAUCCCUCCGAGAUCAAUUGCUGUCAAAAGCACCUACACCUUCACCUCCGUUGAGUCCAUUGAUUUGUUAAACCAAUGGUUGAAAUUCUUUAUCAAAAAUAUCUGUCAAAAAUCUUAGUAGGAGGAACACUCCCCAAAAAAUUGUCACACAAGUAAAGAUAAAUUGUUUUAAGAAAUCCCCUCCCCAAUGCAAGCUGACGUGACAUAGGUUUAGACACAUUGUUAAACGAAUUAUUUGACAAAAUUAGUAUUUUAUUUCCAUAUUAGAUGUGACCCUGUUUUUAUUUUAAGAAAAUAAAUGAUAAAGUAUAAAGUGUAUUACAAUUAAGUUUAAGCCUCAUUAUCUCACGUUAAAUUACAUUAUUUGCAAAUUUUCAACCCACUUUUUUGACUCAGGUGGAAGCCACCUCUGUAAACUCAUUUAUCAGUUUGCAGAUAGCCCAUUUUUCAAAGUGAACGUUAGGGCUAAAAGGACAAUUCUCUCCACAUGGCUACACCAAUUUACCAAUAUGCCCCUUCCUUGAUAUUUUGUAGCCAAAGUCACGAUUUGCUCUCAGAUUUUGCACAGUUUCUCCUUCCAUUUGAAGACGGUCCCCAAAUUCAAUCCGUGCAGUCACCGGACAACUCAAAUUCAUCGACUCUGUCGACGUUAGGAUACCGUUUAACACGCCUGGACCUAAACCCCUUUGACGAGAAAGUCGAAGAUCUGCCGAUCUGUCGUCCUACGACACGAACACCUAUUGCCACGCCCGAACUUUCGAUGGCACCUCUACUCUCGUUUUCAUGGAAUGGACGACGAAGGCUCGCACUAGGGCUACUUUCCAGCGAACAUGGUACAUUUCUACCCCCGACUCCAAACUUCCACCCUUUUGUGAACAUCUUGUGUUCGAAACUUGCAGCCAUUGAAGGCUCUGUUUUCGUCAAUUCGUGCCCUUUCACUUCUGUAUCUGCCAUUUAACCAUGUUUCUUUGUCAUUCAUAGAGCUACAACACCACGGGGAUAGAGCCAAUACCUGCAGCAACUCCUUUUCGACGAUCUGACAGGAGGAUCGACACCCGAAAGUGUGCAAAGUGGGAUCCCCAAGAACACCACAUUUUCAUCUCCAUGGCAGAGCACAUAACUGCCGAAGGACAUCGUCGUGGUAAAUGCUUUACGACUGUUGGAUGGGAGCGCAUCUGGGAAUUGUUCAACAAACGUGCCGGGGAGGAUUGGACAGUCACUCAACUGAAGAACCACUGGAGCGUUAUACGAACGAAUCACAAGCUCCUGAUGGAGUUGCUUCGAUUUUCGGGGAUUCACUACGAGCUGAACUCAGGGGGCAGAAUCAAAGCAAAUGAUUGGUUGUGGGAGCAGAAAAUAAAGGUAAUGCACUCUGCAAAAUCCAUUUCUCCGCUUCAACAUUCAUAUGGUUGCCUCUGUUUCAACGGUAAUGUGUUGUUGCACAACCUUGAUUCGAAAAUGUUAAGUUAGAAUUUCGUAAUGUUUUGCCUGCUGUCACAUUCUCGUGUCCAUAUGCAUUGUGUGGUAGCCAUAUCCAUUGUUGUAUGAGAAUAGUGAUUUGGUCCAUCACCUUAAGUAAACACAAUACGAUAAAAAUGUCUUAUAAUGGUAACUACCAAUACGCAUGAUGCAUCCUGCAUUUGUGAGUAUCUAAAACGCCUGCAUGAUUUUUGUGCUUCCAUGACUGGUUUAUUGCCCGUGAGGAUUGUACUCAACCAUAACGUUUCUGUCAUUCGUGUGCAGUAAUGUUGCGGGUCGUUCUGUGUGCUUCCAUAACUGGUUUGCUACAUAUGAGAUGUGUGCUUAACUGGAACAUUUUUGGAUUCGUACUGUGUUCUAACCACGUGUUCAUAUCUUUUGUGCAGGAGAAUCCGAAGUACGGCAAGUUCCGCUAUAACGACAACAACGAAAUUUUCCACACAUAUGGAAAACUGUUUGGUGCCACUCAAGACUCCACGAAGUACGCAUUAACACCGAUGAAACUGUCACAACACGAUCUCGAUGUGAGCUCGAACUGCGAUGCACAAGUAGAUUUCAAUGACAUGCUGCUGAUCAAUGCAGAGACUACGGACUCAUGUGACGGGCCGGCGGAGGGCAGAUUGAACUCUUUGAUGGACAUUUUCGUUGGUCGAAGUGGUGAGAAGCGUAGAGGAAAGUAGGUGUAGGGGACGGGGAAGAAGAAGAAGUUCGGAGCGAGGGAGGUAUUCGAAUCUGGGGACAAUUUGGCCAGUGCGUCACGGGAGUUUGCAUCUAUCCUUCGCUCCCGGGACAAAGGUAUGAUGACAAUAGCGGAAUGCAUGAAUGAUUUGCUGUCUACCGCCCUCGUCUAAUGUGGGGACGAGCUUCAUUUGUUCGCUUUGUGGUUCUUUCGUGACGUCACCAACCGUGUAGCGUAUGCUGCCGCUGAAAUGUCGCAGCUUCGUUUUGCGUGGAUGCAGUACUAUUUCAAACGCGACAAGGAGUCGAAGGAAGCAAAGUCGUCGAGGGCUCGGUGUAAAUUGUAGUUGACUGUUGCUUGUGUAUGUGUGAGUUUAUUAUGUAGGUCCAAUUGUUUGUAUUCGUAUGUGUUACCAGUAAUUUUGGGUAUUUCCUACCGUCGUAUGUCGUGUGUCUAGACUUGGAGACAUGUUGUUCCCGUUUUGUAAUAAUUAUAGUCUACGUGUGUGUGGGGUCACUGCAUGAACUUUUUUUUAUGUAUUAUCUAUGAAAGCAUGCAUGAGGAAUAUAUUCCCUGUACCAUGCAGAGAAUAUAUUCCUCUUUUGAAAUUGGCCACUCCUGUUAACCUCUAGUAUAGUUGCAUAAACGUGUGGUGGGUGUCUAUUGGUCAUGCUAUAACAUAUUCCCACUUUAAAAGGCCUUGCAACAAAUGUAAAUGGAACUUACUUGUAAGUUGGCAGAGAGUGGAACAAUAAUUCAUUUGGGAUGGCAAUAUAAGCAUCCCAAGUCCUCUUGUAGUAUCAUAGCCUCUGCUAGCCAAUACGUUGUUAUUGCAGAUGACGGACGACUCUCCUCGUAGUUCGUCUUUCAAAACGGACUGCAGUAUCACUUUACUCUCCAGUUUGGACGAAGAGUUGGAUGAUGAUAUCGUGCAGCAGAUGGAAGAUGACGUAUUGGAAUGGCUACAGUACUAUCGAAUCACUGAACGCGUUGUGCGAGAUUACCACUUACCGAGCAGGGAGCAGCGAUUCUUAUUUCCUACGACACGCAGCGGGCAUAUUUUCAUGUUGCAGAAUAUGCAUGUGUACCCGCAAACAUGCUUCCAGGAGUUUCGAAUGUAUCCCCCCAUGUUCACACACUUCACUCAUACCCUUCACGAUCAUUACGGAUUGACGAGCAGUUUAAACGUAGAUAUAUUCGAACAAGUUGGAAUGUUCCUAUGCAUUUUAGCACACGGGAAAGGAUAUCGCCAAGUUCAAAUCCUGUUCGGUCAUUCUUUACAAACCAUUUCACAGUAUUUCAGGCCCGUCCUUCGCUGCAUUGUCGCGUUAGGAGCCGACAUUAUAAAACCACACCAUGACUACAAUGACGACGUGCUUCAUCACCGUCCGAACCAUGCCCAGUAUCAACUGUUUUAGGUUAGGUCCUCCCUAUCAUUUGCGUGACAAAGUGCUCAUUUUUUAUGUUAACUAUUUCCUUGCUAAACUGUUGUUUUGCGUGCAGGACUACAUAGGUACAAUUGAUGGCACGCACAUUCGCGUGGUUCUGUUGCGACAUAAAAUGACGGACUUCAUCGGUAAGAAAGGAUAUCCAACUUAGAACGUGCUCACCGUUUACGAUUUCAACUUGUGCUUUACGUUCGUAAUGCCUAGAACACCUGGGAAUGCCCACGAUAGCCGUAUUCUGGCUCGUUUAGCCCGGACGUGAGUUUUUUGGAACCGAGGAAUGGGAAUUACUACUUAGUGGACUUAAGUUUUGCACACUGACCGGGGUACAUGGCCCUGUACAAAGGAUCCGACGUACGGUAUCACUUUCAGAAAUUUUGAAACAACAGUGGUGGUCGAUGACGUCUUUGAAAUUCACGCGAGAGGUUUAAUUUCCAUCACUCUUCCUGCCGUAAUGUAAUUGAGCGGACGUUCGACGUUUGGAAGCAAAGAUGGAAAAUUCUUGAUUGAAUGCUGGGCUACUCAUUCAGAGCGCAAACUUUUGUUGUCGUGGCAAUGAUGGCCGUUCAUAAUUUUUUGCGACGACAUGGAAGCCUUGACGAAGGAUUUCGCAGAGCAGAGGAAGCGGAGGACGAGGAAGUUGAGGUCGACCUCCCAAAUGAGGACGACAAAAUUGCAGCCGAAGAACAUGCGAUUGGGGAAGAGGAUGUACCGUGGAUACGACUUCACGACUAUAUGGCUGAAGCCCUUUAGUACUGAUAUUUUCAUCCGAAACGUGGGACACCGUUCAGAGUAAGAAUUUGACUAUGAAAAUGUAUUAUCUGAACGUGUGGAAAAAAUGGUCAUGCGUGGAAAAUGGGUGUCGUUGCGUCCAAACACAACGAAUGUGGAAAAAAUAUAAAAAAAAAUGCAUGGGUUAUGUAAACGUGGUCAACUUAUCUAAUUUUGAAAUAAAUAGGUCCUACCUUGUCUUCUCAUUUGCUGUUGUUUGUCUUGUAUGGAUAAUUCAAGUCCAUAAUUGCGGCUACCAGUAGGAGUAGUUGGGAGGACAAAGUGGUAAUUUUGUGCUACACAAAUUUACGUGCUAUAAGAUGUGAUGUCUAAAUUGUUUGGUGGUGGCCCCCACGUUUCACAUUGAAAUUUGCAAAUAAUGUAAUUUAAUGUGACAUAAUGGGGCUCAAACAUGGGCUAAAUUUUAGAGUUUGUUUACGAGAUAUCAAUGACAUAUAGAUCAAAAGUCUUUCAAUUACCUAUUUGUAAUCAAAAGAGUGGAUUGGAGAUUCUAUCGCGCUGUCUACACAUGAAUAGAAACAAAAAUUUUAACUUUAUUAUUGAUCUUGUCCAACCUAGCCUAUUAAAUACGCCAAAAAUACUUCAACUCUAGAAAAUUAGAUUCAAAUAUUAUUUCAAGUGCUGAAAUUUUUCAAAACUAGCCCCUGUUUGGUACCUAUUAAAAUUCAGAUUUUAAUUUAAGUUAAAGUCAGCUUUUAAUUUUAACCACAUAUUUCAUGGGUCCCACAACUUUUUAAUCACACAUUUCACCAAUUUUUGUCAAAAUUUAUUAAAAUUCUAAUUUUUAAUCUCCACCAAACAAGGGCUACAUUUAAAUGCUAAUAUGCCAACUUCAUGGCUUUAGGAAGUUACAAUAGAUUUCUACUUAUAAAAUGGCAUUCUUGAAUAGCCUAUCUUUAUUGAGGUAUGAUUUUAAAAGAUUAGUAGCCAUUGCGAAUUGAAACAAUGGCAUCAUCAUGCUACACGUAUAUAAUAGUGUACACAUGAGUUUACACUCUCCUCACAUGGAAGGAGGUACACAUAUAAUAAAUUAUGCGUGGCCCCCCUCCACGUGAGAAGGGUGUAAUCCGUGUGUAUACCUUGAGGUGUAGAAGCAACAUUACCCUUAAUUUUAUUUACCGUAUUAGUUUUUAGUAUAAUUUCAUUUCUUAUUCUACAGAAGUCUGGCUUCCUAUAUUUCAUUCCAUCCAAUUGUUUUGUUCAAUUCAAACAUUAGAUGGAAAUGCGUUUAUUAUAUUUUUCGCGCUUAAAUAAACGCAGAGGAAGGCACAAAAUACAAGCAAAGACUCGAAUAGAGCCCUCAUGCCUUCUAAAAGAUAUAUACUGCGAUAGUUUUACAUUGUUUUCACACAAUCAAUAUUAAUACAGCACGAUGAAGGUGCUUGGAUUGUUUCCAUGAAAAGUAUUUUGCAUAGAAAACUAAAGAACCAACUGAUGCUUCUUAUAAUUUAGAAGCCAUAAGAUGAACUAGAAUUCUGCAUCUUGUUGGGAAGUAUGCUCUCAACAUUUGCUGCUUGCAUGGGGAUCAUUGACACAUGGAGCU